This 254-nucleotide ribosomal RNA is filed under the name uncultured bacterium. Its description in RNAcentral is "partial 16S ribosomal RNA". It matches the Rfam family "Bacterial small subunit ribosomal RNA", at positions 524 to 776 of the family's 1533-position model. The record is from RNAcentral.
CACGUAGGGGGCGAGCGUUGUCCGGAUUUAUUGGGCGUAAAGGGCUCGUAGGCGGCUCCGUAAGUCGGGUGUGAAACCUCCAGGCUCAACCUGGAGACGCCACUCGAUACUGCUGUGGCUAGAGUCCGGUAGGGGAGCCUGGAAUUCCUGGUGUAGCGGUGAAAUGCGCAGAUAUCAGGAGGAACACCAGUGGCGAAGGCGGCUUCCUGGACCGGUUCUGACACUGGAGCGCGAAAGCGUGGGGAGCAAACAGG